CUCCAGCCCCGCCCCACGGCGACAGGUGGGCGCUCCCGCGGGAGGCCGUGGCGUCCGGGCGCUGCUGUGGGCCCCGCUCCGCCCUACAGACCCCAGGCCGACCGAGCCGCGCUUCUCGGGGCUCCGCUGCGCGCCGUUCCCCUGGCAGGCCCUGGACGGUCCCGCGCCUCCUCCCACUUACUCUCCUGGAGGCGCAGGGCCGGACCGCGGGUGGCGGGGUGGGGGUCCAGGCCCUGCAGGCGCUGCGAGCCUUCGAGCGCCCCCGCAACCGGCCGCGCACCCCUGCGCUGUGGGGGUGGACCGGGCCCCCAGCCGCGAUGCAGCAGCCCCCGGGGGAGACACGAGCUCUGAGGACCCCGGGUGGUCUAGAGUCGCCGGCCGCCGCGUGACCCCUGGGCGGGCCUGUGUCGCCCGCAGCGCCGCCUCGUCCCUCCCUGUGCCGAGGGAGAGGACCCCGUCGGGCGCCCGGAAGCCCGGGGCUUCCUUGUCUGGGGCGAGGCGGCCCCCCGUGACGCGGUGGGCGCUAGUGCGAAGCUAUGUCAACUAAAGCAAAGACUCAUAAUGAAAACAGUCGGGUUAGCUUCACGCGGGAACCUUCCUGAGGACGGCAGAGCGGGCUGGCAGCUCCUUCAAGAGGCUCUGCCGCUGCUGCAUCGGCGUCAGCCGGGUUUGGGUGGGAGAGCGCAGAGGUGUUUGGAGUGUGGGUCUUUUAUCUUCUGAGGAGGCGGUGGCCCGGGCAGGUGGCGGCCCCGCGCUGGUCCUGCGCUGUGUCCUCGGAGCGCCCUCAGCUGCCGCAUCCAGGUGCCGGCACAGACACGUGGGCGGGGCUGCCUAGCCUGCUGCUGGGCCUCAGAGGGCUGCAGAGACGGCAGGAAUGGUGACCCUUGCUUCAGAGUCCUUUGGUUAUGAGUAACUCACCGAAUUGACAGUGUGAUUUGUAUGAAUGCGUUGUGUUCACUGAAGAGCUGUGGCAGAGAGAAAACCUAACACGUUUAAUUCCCGAAUGUGAGUGUUUUCAACUAUGUGUAACAACUAACACAAUUGACAUAAUGAUACACUUCGUGGACAUUUAAUUUUGAUUCUGUCAUUUCCUUAUUUUUAGAGGUGGUAACGUUUUGUUUUUUUCCCGUUGCUCAAACAUCUUCGAGGCUCCUGCACGGCUGGAGCUGUGCCUCCGGGCCCAGGUGACCUCGGGGGGAGAAGGAAGGGGCCUCUGAGGAUGAAGCACAGAGGCUGCCUGGUGAAGUGGGCUGCGCGCUAGAAAAUGCACGUGCGGAGUAGCUUGGUUCCCUCCACGGGGAGCGUGCAAGGCCCUCUUGGGCGCCGUGGGAGCCUCGCCGCCUGCACAGGCUUCGGAGCCAGUGAAGUGGCCGAAUCAGCAUUGAAGAAUGGGGAGCAAGUGCGAGCCGCUUUCCUGCGAGUGGUUGAGAAGCAGGCUUUGUGUUGGCCGCCCCUGUGGGUAGCGGCUGCUCAGCCC
Molecule: long non-coding RNA, 1477 nt
Organism: Rhinopithecus roxellana (golden snub-nosed monkey)
Lineage: Eukaryota; Metazoa; Chordata; Mammalia; Primates; Cercopithecidae
Exons: 3
Source: RefSeq, a predicted model, not a curated record